RNAcentral lists this unclassified non-coding RNA (1120 nucleotides) under Hevea brasiliensis (rubber tree). Lineage: Eukaryota; Viridiplantae; Streptophyta; Magnoliopsida; Malpighiales; Euphorbiaceae. The record is from RNAcentral.
AUCAUUACCCUUAAAUGGAACACAAGAAGAUGCAUAAUUUUACAAUAACACGGUUGAAAUCAAGGGAAUUAGAAUAAAAAUACAUGGGGAUUGCGAGUGGAUUUCACAAAGCAAAGGAGUUCGUCAAUCCAUUCAAAUGCAUGCUAAUUGCUAAGUUAAGCUAAGCAAAAGCAAAAUAUAUUGAUGCCCCACACAUGAAAUUGUCAUGAAAUAUAAAUAUGGUUUUCUCAAAACCAAGAGAACACCUUUAUUCUCAACAUCACAUUACAUUCCAUUGCAUAACAUAGCAUAAUCCAUGCUAAUUUCAUCACAUCCUCAGUAAGGUACAAUCUUCCAUAGUUGGUUCUCUCCUUCCUUCCAUUUCCAGAGGACAAUGUGGGUGCCAUCAUGAACUCCACCAGAAUAUUUGUCCCCAUGAUAUGCAUCAACAUUCAAGUGAACGUUAUUCACCAUCCUUAUGGCUCUGUAACCAUCCCCAAACUCCUUGCUCUGUGUCCACAGUACCGACUCGUCCACCACAUUUGGAUCAUAACGUGUCAGCUGAACCGGAUGAGUAGCUCCGAUGGAAUGUUUCAUCGCCUGACCGGUGGCCUUGUUCACGAGGGCAAAGCAGGGACAUCCUUCCUCAUCCUUAAUCCUUGUACUGUAUUUCUCAUCUUUGAACCAGUGUUGAGCGGGAUCGUAGGGAUCGGAAGGGACAAGAACGACUUUGCCGUCGCGGAUGGCGAGGGAGAAAUUAGGGUUUGCUUUGGCGUAGACCUUCACCGUUGGCCUGUUGGAGAAGGGAGAAUCGGAUUGAUGAGAGUGUUGGUGAAUAACCGUGGGAGAGUGUGGAUGGUGAGAGUGGUGGUGCACGACCGGAGGCGGCGGUCCGGAGGAGUAUCCGUAGUCGGGAACCGGCGGUUCCGGAGGGAAAUUGGACUGGUAGUCAACGUACGACGGCGGAGGAGGCGGCGGCGCCUCACCGUAGUGAGUGUGGUGGAUGUGGGGAACCAGUGGCGGCGGUGGAUCGGAGUACGGCGGUCUGUAUCCCGGUGGAGGAUGACGAGGUUCGUCGUCUUCAUCGUCGUCACGGCGGUGGUGGUGGUGGAAGGGGAAAGCCAUUUUUUCCGAUCUUUGG